Molecule: long non-coding RNA, 899 nt
Organism: Aegilops tauschii subsp. strangulata
Lineage: Eukaryota; Viridiplantae; Streptophyta; Magnoliopsida; Poales; Poaceae
Source: RefSeq, a predicted model, not a curated record
CAUCAUUUGUUGGUAUAGAAUGUUUGGAUAGAUGCCAAAGGAACAUCCUCACCUUUCCACCUGAACUUUCCAUAAACUUUUCCAUGAGCCCUCUUCAACAACCGAGGUGGAGGAACCAUCCCUUUCCUCUAACCACGACUAUUGGAGAAUUAAUUACAAUUCUGAAAUAUACAAAUAUAGACAUAGGAGAUAAGUCCGACCAAAUUUGGGAACUUGUCUAAAAAGGGAGAAAAUUAGUCUGACUUAAUUUAUGCUUUUAAUGAGGGUUCAUAUUAUGGGAUGAUAUUAAAUAAAUCCAAUUUUAUUGUUUGAUGUUUACACGGGAUAAGGAUGACCGGUUCUCUCUUCUCUCAAUAUAUACGAUCGUCUCAUGUGCAGAUUGGUAACCAAACAUUUCUCAUCCACAACCAAAGUGAUCUGAGUGCCUGUGUAGCUAGUGUUGUAUCUGGUUGGGCAUGGACAAGUACACGAUUCGCAUUCUUGCAAUAGCAGCCCUAGUGUGUCUACAUCUCGUAUGCUCUGCUACUGUUGCUCAAUGCCGAAUCAUGGCUGACAUGGACAGCAAGAAGAUCGAACUACCAGACGGGCUAUGCGUUGAAGUAGCUCAUGAUGAUUGUUGGAACCGCGCUGGUUGCUUCCAUUGUUUGGUAACUGACGUCUUCUACCCCACUAUGGAUGACUGCAAGAGCAAUUGUAACAAAUCCUCGUCUUUACAAGACAUGCUAGUUGCCAUGACGACCUCCCCUCCUCCUCCUUUACCUGCUCCCUAAUUUUCCGGCCUAGACAAUGGUUAUAUGUACAAGAUUGUCCACUGAAAAUAAUGCCUAUGUGCGGAAACCAGUUAUGCAAUGAGAGUAAUAUACUGCAGCAGUUGUUGCUGAGUAUUUUGGUUUGGCAAA